Dermacentor albipictus is the source of this 2006-nucleotide non-coding RNA. NCBI's taxonomy places the organism in Eukaryota, Metazoa, Arthropoda, Arachnida, Ixodida, Ixodidae. The record is from RefSeq and is a predicted model, not a curated record.
UGACUGUCCCAACGUGGGAGCGGCCCGCAGCACGCUGAGUUGCGUACCUCAGGACCUUCAUUAAUGUUUUGCAUCCAUCCAUCCAUCCUCGAUGGGCGAAACGAUUUCAGCGGAAGCAAGCGCUCCAGUCAUGCGCCGCUAGUGCAGCGUAAACAACACCAUGGACGCUACCAGGCAUCAUGUGUGCCUAUACGGUGCGGCGGUAAGUGCAUUUGCAGUGAAGCUGCGUCGGCAGAGUUCCAGUGGCAUCGCGAGCGAGCACCCAUACACAUGUUCAAAUGUGUAAGGACUCGCCUGGCUGAUGAACAGUUUGUCUUAUACCGCCAAAGCCUCGCCGAAAGCGCCGUCGUUUCAAGCAUGCCGUGCCGCCCGCAAUCGUUGAUAGACGCCCACGAAGCCGCAACUGCGAAAAGACGUUAGCCGCUGCGCGCGCAUUGUCGCCUUCGUCCCCAUCGGCGCGGGCGUUGUCCUGAUGUGUGCGUCGGCUCGCCAGUGCUUCAGUCAGGGAGGAAGACGGUUAAGCCCAGUUAAGCUUAGUGCAUACAUUCGCUCCUUCUCUUCCUCGGCUUAGCACACGCCGGCGCAAAAAAAUGUUUCGCGUAAAAAUCAACUUACACUGCGCGACUUAUUUUUCUCGCUGCACCUUGCAACGAGCUAAUGGCACGGGAGACACAUGCAUCGUGCGCUGGACACGCCGCCGAAGCGAGUGACGUUGAAUGUGCUUGUGAAGUUCUCCUGUUUGGCGACCCGUCACUUUUCGAUGUGGCCUGUUUGUUGGGCGCCCGCGGUUUCUUCUGCACCUCGGCGAAGUAUGGCAAGGAAUGACGGAGCCAAGCGGACCCAUCAUGCCGCACUCGACCGGCCUUGUCAGGUUCAUGCCAGCGUUCGACCACGCCCUCUUGAGAAGAACGUGCGUUUCUACCAUUUAUAGACCGGCGACGGCGUCAGCUAUUAGCGUGUGCCGGCGAGCGAAUAUCUUGGAGGCCACGGAGUGGUGCUGGGGGCUCAACUGCCGAGCUUCUGCUUGGCACGAACGAAUGAGUGACGCGAACCUACACUACAGCCCGCCAUGCCUAACGAUGCAACUACCUGCCCGCCUCCGUCACCACCCAUCAUAGGCUCCGGGGUCUCUCACCAGUGAGAUCCAGUGUUGUAGAGGAUUUGCUCUCUUCAUACUACAAGGAGCCAUACGACAGCACAGCAGCGUCCAGCAACCGUGGUUGGCAAGGCCCGGGAGGAUUCGCUAAUAAAUCUUCGGUUUAAAGAAACGGUCUUGCCGCUCCCGAUGUACCCAGUGAAAAGAUGUACUUUGCGUCACAAAUUGCUACCACAGAAGUUUAUCUUCUCACAAAGGGUGUGUGGCAUCAUAACUUUUGACUUCCGUGUUUUAUUCAUUGAACUCUCUUUUCGGAUAACAUCAAGUGCAAAAGAGCAGCAUCUGUUUUUUAGUUCAAGGCGCGGCAAGUUGCUUCCAUAUGUCCGGCUCUGCAUCAGAACGACAAGUUGGGCCAGUUGGUUGGGAUUCCUGGUAAGGGUGCAGUAUAUUUCUAGUACUCAGGGCUCUUUUGUGUCUCAAGUAAAACUCUUGCUUGGGCUAGUUGGUUCAUGCUUGAAGUAGGUAAAGGCAAGGCGUAGAAGACCAGGACUUAGGAAGAACACAAACGACAAGACGGGCGCCAUGACGUGGCCUACGACGCCUACGACGUUAACGUUGGCAUGACGUUGCCAACGCCUACGACGUUGCGCUGCAAACCCCGAGUCUGAGUGUGUGAGAUCAAAUGCAGGUAGCGAAAACCGAAAUUCAAUGGGGGCAAAUUUCACCAACGGCAAUGGACCACGCAUUGGGUGCAAGCUAAAAUGCUCCAGGUGGACCAGAUUAUUCCGCAGUUCCUUACUAUGGCGGGCCUCGUAAUCGUAUGGCGGUUCUGCGACGCAAAACCGCAGAAUUCUACUCAGGAUACGUGGGUGUCUCCGGAACUUCACCACACUGGUGGCAAAAUGACUAG